Molecule: ribosomal RNA, 378 nt
Filed under: Philodromus cespitum
Lineage: Eukaryota; Metazoa; Arthropoda; Arachnida; Araneae; Philodromidae
Description: partial large subunit ribosomal RNA
Source: RNAcentral
GAUAUUAUAAAUAGCCGCUUUUGUGCUAAGGUAGCAUAAUCAUUUGUCUUUUAAAUGAAGACCAGGAACAAAAGAUUUAACAUUUUAAUAAAUAUAUUUCAUUAAAUAAUUUAAAUUAUCUUAAAAGUAAAAAGACUUUUAUUAAUUAGAAAGACGACAAGACCCUAUUGAACUUAACUACUGUUAAACUGGGGAAGUUAAUAAAUUAUUAUUUUUAUAAAAAUUUUAAAUUAAAAGUGAUCUAAUACUAUUAACCUAAGGAUCAAGUUACCAUAGGGAUAACAGCGAAAUUUAAUUUUAAAAAUCUUAUAUUAAAAUGGGUUUACAACCUCAAUGUUGAAUUAAUAACCUAAUUAAAGCAAAAGUUAAUAAAGGGAG